GGGAUUAUAAAAUGUGAUUAGUACAAAGAUGAAAACAUAAAACUAGAUUCUGGGAGCUGAGAGAGAGAGAAGCACUUGGAAAGAAUGGAUUCUGGCAGUUGGGGGCCCCUAUUUGACUCCACUUCUGUUCUGCACACCCCCUGACCCUCAUUCAUGUGGGUGGAAUUGCAGAGCAGACUUUAAAUCCAAAACAGCACUCUCCUGAUCACAAGCAGGAUAUUCAAGAA
This 227-nucleotide long non-coding RNA is filed under the name Bos indicus x Bos taurus (hybrid cattle). RNAcentral describes it as "lncRNA (ENSBIXG00005010522.1)". Lineage: Eukaryota; Metazoa; Chordata; Mammalia; Artiodactyla; Bovidae. The record is from RNAcentral.